GGAAAUGUUAAAGUAGAUUAUUAUAUAUACAGUUAUAUUGAUCACAUUGGUCCAACCAGUCAGGGACAAGGAGGAAGUGUUGGUUUCUUAAGAUUUGGCCAAAUGAAUCUUGACAUUUUCUGGAAUUAAAUACUGUAAUGCUAUAUGUUAAUUCUAGACGAUGUUUAAGUUGGUCUGACUUCAAAUAAUAAAAAGGUAUUUAGGGCAUAUUCAAGUGCAUGGGUUAGUUUUUCUGACAAAGCAUGUUUUGGUGUAUAGUCUUUUACUUUUUAGAAACAGCUAUGCAUCUUUUUACAUGGUCAGGUUUAAAACACCUUUUGGGGGCUUAGGGCUGUUGAAAUAUUUUGUUGUCAGAAUCACUUUCAGUUGAAGAACCUAAAGUAACUCUUUUAUAUAGUAGAUUUGGGCAUGUAGACUAAUCUUAAAUGCAUAUGAUUUGAUAAUGUAUAUGGAUUUAUGAAGAAAGCAAUUGAUGAAUUCAGUCAAGAGGAUGUAAUUACAAUACCUGGUCUCUAAAGUAUUCCAGUUGUAAAUUAUUUGUUUUAUUUGCUGGCUAAACACAGAUGUGGUUUUUCAUAUAUUUUUGUAGUGUUUUGAGAAGAGCAGAAGCUUUAUAAACACCACCUAAUGCACUGUGCAGUGAAAAUGUAAGCGAUAUCCUUAUGUGCUCUGAGCUUUAAUUUUUUUGUUUACAAACUGAACAGUGUUAUGCAGGCAGUCUAGUCCUUAUUUAAGGUAGAGAGAAAUGAUACAGUACUGCAGAUAAGAAUUAACGAUUAUAGAAAAUGAAGGGGAAAGUAGCAAAGCUGUGUUCUGUGAAAAUUCACUAGCACUGUUUAUGUUGGACUCCAAAAAAAUGUUCUAAAUUAAAAGGAGGGCAAACCUUUACCUAAUUCUUAUCUGCAGGUGAAGACUUGCUUCCCGUGAUGACAUGUUAGCAAAUCAGCAUGAUUUCUGUGUGUUAACGCCAACACCUGUUUGUUUUGAAGAUAACCAAAAGAAAUGCACUUUGCUAGCAGGGUUUGGGGUUUUUUGUUGUUGUUGUUGUUACUUUUGCUUUUUUUAAAAAAAUGGAGUUUUUGGAAACUUGGUUCUUGUUACACACAAAAUGAAGUAGCUUCCUGUGGAGCCUUCACGUGUUAAGUGUAUUAAUACCUGCACUAGUGACAGUCACUUAGAAUGUUUAUAUUUAUAGAAAUGUGGAUAAUAACUACCAAUAAACUACUUGAGGCAA
RNAcentral lists this long non-coding RNA (1234 nucleotides) under Bos taurus (domestic cattle). Its description in RNAcentral is "long non-coding RNA NONBTAT019307". Lineage: Eukaryota; Metazoa; Chordata; Mammalia; Artiodactyla; Bovidae. The record is from RNAcentral.